UUGAGCCGUAUGUGUGGAAACAUACAAUUACGGUUCUUAGGGGGGGAAGGAGCCGAAAGGCUCCCUACCUACCCGAC
RNAcentral lists this non-coding RNA (77 nucleotides) under Marinisporobacter balticus. The record is from RNAcentral. Lineage: Bacteria; Bacillati; Bacillota; Clostridia; Peptostreptococcales; Thermotaleaceae.